GACGAACGCUGGCGGCGUGCUUAACACAUGCAAGUCGAGCGGUAAGGCCCUUUCGGGGGUACACGAGCGGCGAACGGGUGAGUAACACGUGGGUGACCUGCCCUCAGCUCUGGGAUAAGCCUGGGAAACCGGGUCUAAUACUGGAUAUGACUCCAUGACGCAUGUUGUGGGGUGGAAAGCCUUGUGCGGCUGAGGAUGGGCCCGCGGCCUAUCAACUUGUUGGUGGGGUGAUGGCCUACCAAGGCGACGACGGGUAGCCGGCCUGAGAGGGCGACCGGCCACACUGGGACUGAGACACGGCCCAGACUCCUACGGGAGGCAGCAGUGGGGAAUCUUGCGCAAUGGGCGAAAGCCUGACGCAGCGACGCCGCGUGAGGGAUGACGGCCUGGUGU
Molecule: ribosomal RNA, 393 nt
Filed under: uncultured bacterium
Lineage: Bacteria
Description: bacterial SSU rRNA
Rfam family: Bacterial small subunit ribosomal RNA
Source: RNAcentral